AUAUACAAAAAGGUUGUAAUAUUUACGAAAGGAAAAACAAUGGAAAUUAUUAAAUACAUAAUGAAUAUUCAAAUAAAAUGGAUACAUGGAUUUUUUCAUUGACGGUUAAGAACGUCUCGUCAGUUGAGUGCAGAACGCAGGCAAUAUUGGCGGGAGUGGACUUCAAAUGCAAUUAUGAAGCACUGUGCCGCUCCGGGACAAUCACACUUGUCUGCUCGAUAACCACAUCUAGUUAUCUACUGUACGUAAAUAAAUACUAGGCUAUUGCUAAAGCUAGGUACUUUGAAGCUAAUAUAUAGGUUAUAGCUUCCAUAUUAAUAAAUAAUGAGACCUUAAAAAAGUUUUAAUGGUAUCCGUCCAAAUCCUCCUUUUUAGUUUAAACUGCUUUUCCCUUCAUUUCCCUCUCUCUGGACACAUUAUGUGACCUGAACUUUUAUUUGGAGCCCAACUUUCCAGCUGGACAUGUGUAGAUGUUUUACUACCUUCUUUAGGAAGCAUUAAUAAAUAAAGAAGAAAAUGACACACGCAGUAGUCGCUGAUUCAGGCGAAAGCAAUUAAGUCAAGAUUUGUUGGAACAGAUUUCUUUCUUAUAGAAUUUUAAAUUAAUACUAUAAUAUUUAUA
Pieris brassicae (large cabbage white) is the source of this 622-nucleotide long non-coding RNA. RefSeq lists it as uncharacterized. The record is from RefSeq and is a predicted model, not a curated record. NCBI's taxonomy places the organism in Eukaryota, Metazoa, Arthropoda, Insecta, Lepidoptera, Pieridae. The transcript has 3 exons.